UCAAAUUAGGGUUAUGGUUUCAAUCCUUGUUCCCGGAAUCAAUUAAUGAUUUUGGAGUGAUCUUGAAUGCAAAGCCUAUCGUGUUUAUGCUCGUUGUGAAGCUCUUGAGUUGUUCUUCCACAAUCUUUCAUCCAAAUCACCGAAAAUGUGGUAAAUUUCCAAUUUCGAAAUUAGGGUUCUUUGUCGUUUUUAAUUUGAAUUGGGGGUUUUAAAUCUAGUGACUAUUUGUAUGUUUUGAUGCUUUAAAUAGCUUCCAUAUGAUGUUUACAGCUUGUUUGUACUACUUAUUGAUGUGUUUUAUUACCGGAAUGAUUGGACAAGUUACAUGGGUUUUGACCCGUUUUGAAUCAGGUUUAAUUAAAGUAGGGCUUCUUGUUUGAUUGAUUGCUUGUGUGGUAACUGUGUCUGCAUAGAUAGUUUCCUAGGGAGUUUCCCAGUAUUUUUGGUUCUAUUUUUAGGUUGUGUUUUGGGGUUCGCCGGAAAAUCGCCGACUUCACUUCUAUUUUUCAUUUUCCAACUAGCUAACUCAGAGGCUGUGGAUAUGGAUUGUUGUACUAUAUUUAUAUGGCUUUAAUUUUUGAUUUGGGAUAAGAAAGUUUAAAAAUAGUUAAGUUCUAUGAAAGGUCGAUGUUUUGUUGGAUUUUUAUCACCGGCUUUCACUUCGAUUCGACGGGAAUCAAAUCUGGGUUGAUUGUUUGUUGUCGAUGUUGGAUUGCAGCUGUUCAAGUUGUUUGCAUUAGUUUUGGUAAAAAACGAGAAGAAAUGGAGUUGUUUUGGCCAAGAUCAGAACUUGGCCGGACUUUGAAGCUCGCCAGCCAUUUUCUCGAGUAUCCAGAAUCCUGCGGCUUGUUCUUCAAGCUUUGGCCAUGUUCUUCGGGCCGACCGCCUUUAAUCCAAAAACUUUAGGACCCGGAA
RNAcentral lists this long non-coding RNA (915 nucleotides) under Daucus carota (carrot). RNAcentral describes it as "long non-coding RNA (DCAR_LNC005432)". The record is from RNAcentral. Lineage: Eukaryota; Viridiplantae; Streptophyta; Magnoliopsida; Apiales; Apiaceae.